This 253-nucleotide ribosomal RNA is filed under the name uncultured bacterium. RNAcentral describes it as "partial 16S ribosomal RNA". It matches the Rfam family "Bacterial small subunit ribosomal RNA", at positions 524 to 776 of the family's 1533-position model. The record is from RNAcentral.
GACGGAAGGUGCAAGCGUUGCUCGGAAUCACUGGGCGUAAAGGGUGCGUAGGCGGCCGCGCAAGUCUGGCGUGAAAGCCCCGGGCUCAGCCCGGGAAGGGCGCUCGAAACGGCGCGGCUCGAGUGCCGGAGGGGAGAGUGGAAUUCCUGGUGUAGCGGUGAAAUGCGUAGAUAUCAGGAGGAAUACCGGUGGCGAAAGCGACUACCUGGCCUGUUCUUGACGCUGAGGCGCGAAAGCUAGGGGAGCAAACGGG